CCUUUGUACACACCGCCCGUCGCUACUACCGAUUGAAUGGUUAUAGUGAGCAUAUGGGAUCCGUGGAGGCCGACUGGCAACAGUCAGCUUCUGCAGAGAACUAUGGCAAACUAGGCUAUUUAGAGG
RNAcentral lists this ribosomal RNA (126 nucleotides) under Backusella sp. RNAcentral describes it as "partial small subunit ribosomal RNA". It matches the Rfam family "Eukaryotic small subunit ribosomal RNA", at positions 1657 to 1779 of the family's 1831-position model. Lineage: Eukaryota; Fungi; Mucoromycota; Mucoromycetes; Mucorales; Backusellaceae. The record is from RNAcentral.